UACGUAGGGUGCAAGCGUUAAUCGGAAUUACUGGGCGUAAAGCGUGCGCAGGCGGUGAUGUAAGACAGAUGUGAAAUCCCGGGCUCAACCUGGGAACUGCAUUUGUGACUGCAUCGCUGGAGUGCGGCAGAGGGGGAUGGAAUUCCGCGUGUAGCAGUGAAAUGCGUAGAUAUGCGGAGGAACACCGAUGGCGAAGGCAAUCCCCUGGGCCUGCACUGACGCUCAUGCACGAAAGCGUGGGGAGCAAACAGG
RNAcentral lists this ribosomal RNA (252 nucleotides) under uncultured bacterium. Its description in RNAcentral is "partial 16S ribosomal RNA". It matches the Rfam family "Bacterial small subunit ribosomal RNA", at positions 524 to 776 of the family's 1533-position model. The record is from RNAcentral.